CGCGGCGCAUUAGCUAGUUGGUAAGGUAAAGGCUUACCAAGGCGACGAUGCGUAGCCGACCUGAGAGGGUGAUCGGCCACAUUGGAACUGAGACACGGUCCAGACUCCUACGGGAGGCAGCAGUGGGGAAUAUUGCGCAAUGGGCGAAAGCCUGAUGCAGCAACGCCGCGUGAACGAUGAAGGUCUUCGGAUCGUAAAGUUCUGUCGCAGGGGAAGAUAAUGACGGUACCAGAGGAGGAAGCCACGGCUAACUAC
RNAcentral lists this ribosomal RNA (255 nucleotides) under uncultured bacterium. RNAcentral describes it as "partial 16S ribosomal RNA". It matches the Rfam family "Bacterial small subunit ribosomal RNA", at positions 232 to 504 of the family's 1533-position model. The record is from RNAcentral.